Molecule: long non-coding RNA, 1648 nt
Filed under: Salvia miltiorrhiza (redroot sage)
Lineage: Eukaryota; Viridiplantae; Streptophyta; Magnoliopsida; Lamiales; Lamiaceae
Description: long non-coding RNA (SMIL_LNC004600)
Source: RNAcentral
UGGUAUUCUGUGGUGGUAUUUCUUUGUUCUGCGAUUUGUUUUUCUCUCAGAUAGUUAACUGCUGAAUGCUGAAUCCUGCUUUAUUGAAUUGAAGUCCCUUGCUUCCUUGCCUACUCCUGUUGGCAUUUAUGCGUCUGUCCAUAGUUCCUUUCCCUUCUUUUUUUUUUUUUUCCUUUUUUGUUAUACCGUUCACAAAAAGUGUUCUCUUUUUUAUGAUCUAAAGUAUUUUUCCUCUGUUUUACUGCUUUAGGAUCCUCUGAACUCAACGGCAAUCUUGUGUGAUGAAAAAUUGCAUAAGCUUCUGGGCUGUGAAAGCAUCUCAGCAUUGGAGGUACCAGAGAUGUUGGCACAACGCCACUUAUUAAAGAAAUCGUGAUAGAGAGAUCUGACUGGUAUGUAUACCAAAUCUUACUUUUGUUACUCACGAAAAUUAUGCUUUUGAGUUGAACAGUUAAAUCAUAAAAGAUAUCAUAAUUGUGGAGGAAUAUCUGCACUAACUUUAUGCCAUCUGUUUAAUAUGCUUUUGCUAAUCAAAUGUCUCUUUUAACAUGCUCUUAACAUCCCAUGUUUUCACGUUCUGCACAAAUUAUCUGUUUGGGGCGUUGGCUUGGUGGAUGAGAUAGAUAAGAUUGAUAUGAUUGGAGGAUGAUUAAAUAAUCAACCCUACUUUGGGGUGAUAAAUAAUCAUCCAAUUGGGUGAUUAGAGUGUGGGCUAAGUUAUCCAUCACGGGCCAAAUCAUACAAACCAAACAUUUGAUGAAGUUGGAUUAUUUUAUCAAUCAUGCCUUGUCACUCUAAUGAAACGCCUCUUGUAUGUCUUUCCCUUCCCCCUUGUGAAAUCUCAUUUGUUCCUUCACUCUUAGUUUAUACUUUGUCUUUGAGCUUUUUAGUACUGUCAUAGUUUUACUUUUUGUUUCCCGGUUUUUGGCUAGUCAUCACCUCCUUCUGCCACUUCUACUUUCAUCACCAGAUAUUUUGUGGUAUUCUCAUCCAAAUUUACGUAGUUGCACAACUAAGAUUUUCAAAUAUGAUUGUUACAAGCGGUUGCAGCUGAUUUCUGAUAAUCCCGUUUCUUUGCUUCUUUGUAUAUGAUGCAGAUUGACGAUGUUAAUGCUAACAUAGUGUAUUCUGACAUUACUCCUCUGAAUGCCCUUCUUCUUGUAAAGAAGGUUCUAUGGCUUGUUCUUUCAAUUGGGUUAGGCUUAUGAUUGUGGCGCAAGAAAGUCAUUGGUUGGUAAAUUAUGAAUACAAUUCCAACUCAUCUCGUCACCAGAUAUGGUGGUGGAGUUCGAUUUCUUGCUCGUUGCAACAUUUAUUUUAUCAAAUGGUACUUGCAACAUAGUUUGUGAUAUGGUAGGUCAAGUAGUGAACCUCCCAAGUGUAAAGAUAGAUGUCUAGGUUUUAAUUUUUAUCGCCCCCCUUCCCAACUCCAAACAAACUAUUCGCUUUGUGUAUCAAUUUGUGGUAAUACAUAUGCUUGCAAAAGUCUUUGAUCUUUGCGCCCAAUUUGAGAUUAUUCUCUUAAAUCCACGGGCUUAUUUUUAUUUAUCGUACACAUAGGGUUUGUUUUUUCAGAGGUGAUUAGAGUAUAAAAAAAUACAAUCAUAGAAAAAUAUUAUUAGUACGAGUAAAAAAAAUAAUUAUAUCG